This 475-nucleotide ribosomal RNA is filed under the name Centruroides baergi. RNAcentral describes it as "partial 16S ribosomal RNA". It matches the Rfam family "Archaeal large subunit ribosomal RNA", at positions 1908 to 2669 of the family's 2987-position model. The record is from RNAcentral. Lineage: Eukaryota; Metazoa; Arthropoda; Arachnida; Scorpiones; Buthidae.
AUUUUUUAGGAGUAAUUAAAAAUGAGUUCUGCUCAAUGUAUAAUAAAUAGCCGCAGUAUUUUGACUGUGCAAAGGUAGCAUAAUAAUUAGUCUUGUAAUUUAAGACUGGAAUGAAGGGAUAAACUAAAGAGUUUCUUUCUUAACUUUUUCUUUCAAACUUUACUUUUUAGUAAGAAGGCUAAAAUGUUUCUUUUAGACAAGAAGACCCUAUAAAACUUUACAUAAGAUAAUUUAAUAAAUUAAAAACAUGUUUCGCUGGGGCGGUGGAAAGAUAAACACUUUUAAAUUAUUAAAAUAUUACUAUUUUACUACCCAAAAAUUUUGAAGCUUAAAUAAGUUACUUUAGGGAUAACAGCGUAAUAUACUCUGAAAGCUCAAAUUGACAAGUAUGUUUGCGACCUCGAUGUUGGAUUAGAUUUCCUUUACUCCGCAAGAGGAGUGAAAAGGGGGUCUGUUCGACCCAUAAAAAUCUCCA